This 492-nucleotide ribosomal RNA is filed under the name uncultured bacterium. RNAcentral's name for it is "partial 16S ribosomal RNA". It matches the Rfam family "Bacterial small subunit ribosomal RNA", at positions 29 to 507 of the family's 1533-position model. The record is from RNAcentral.
AGUGAACGCUGGCGGUAGGCCUAACACAUGCAAGUCGAACGGCAGCACAGUAAGAGCUUGCUCUUACGGGUGGCGAGUGGCGGACGGGUGAGGAAUACAUCGGAAUCUACUUUUUCGUGGGGGAUAACGUAGGGAAACUUACGCUAAUACCGCAUACGACCUACGGGUGAAAGCAGGGGAUCUUCGGACCUUGCGCGAUUGAAUGAGCCGAUGUCGGAUUAGCUAGUUGGCGGGGUAAAGGCCCACCAAGGCGACGAUCCGUAGCUGGUCUGAGAGGAUGAUCGGCCACACUGGAACUGAGACACGGUCCAGACUCCUACGGGAGGCAGCAGUGGGGAAUAUUGGACAAUGGGCGCAAGCCUGAUCCAGCUAUACCGCGUGGGUGAAGAAGGCCUUCGGGUUGUAAAGCCCUUUUGUUGGGAAAGAAAAGCAGCAGGUUAAUACCCCGCUGUUCUGACGGUACCCAAAGAAUAAGCACCGGCUAACUUCGUG